Long non-coding RNA from Motacilla alba alba, 12855 nucleotides. RefSeq lists it as uncharacterized. NCBI's taxonomy places the organism in Eukaryota, Metazoa, Chordata, Aves, Passeriformes, Motacillidae. The record is from RefSeq and is a predicted model, not a curated record. The transcript has 3 exons.
AAGAGAGUACAAAGUGAGUUAGCAUUUCUCUUCACAGUACUGUUCUUUUAAUCAAAAAAGUACUUUUCACACAAAGCAACUUUAAGCUAAGAAGCAUUAAAAUGACUGUCUCCUUUACUCUUCAGACUAGGAUUUGGUUCAGAUUUGAGAUAUGGACUCAUAAUUCUUGUCCCUGGCAAUGGAAUGUACUUCUGGAAAUAUUCCUUCCUGAUCUGUUCAUAGAGUAUAGUGAAUUAUGCAGCUACUGACAAUUUUGUACUUAUCAGGUUCCUAAUAAAUGUCAGGUUUGAUUCUGGGCUCACUGAGACUAGCUGACUGAAAUUCACCUGAACUAGGUCAAUGAAACAGUGAUUUAUCUGAGAGCUUUUUCUAUAUACUCUUUUAAAAUUAAAGAUCAAAACUGGAAAAUUAAAAUUAGGAUGAAUAUAAACUGGCACUGAAAUAAACAUGAAAAGUUUCAUAAACACAGGAAGUCACAAUGUAGAUUAUGAAGAGCUUGAGAAAAAAGAAAGUUUAAUAAAGACAAAAAAUGGAAGGUUUAAGAAAAGUCCUUAGAAGUCAUUCUGAUAAUUUCUUGCAUAGGAUGAAAGUUUAUAGUAUUUACAAGUAAGAAAAGUAUUGCUCCUAGGUGUCUGCAAAUAGAAAGAUGCUUUGAUGGUUAGGCAGAAACAUGAUUGGUUUAAAGGAUUAUUUAUAACAGUAUUUCCUCUUACACAUUUUACCUAUAACACAGCAAAGAAGAAAAACAUUGUUUCACAGUUGCAUAGAAUGAAGCAGACAUAAACACACCAGAUGUUGUUUAGUAAUUUUCCUAAGCAUCUUUUUUUCCUAUGUUUCUAAAGCACUUCAACUAUGUUUAAAUUUUACAGACUCAAAAGACAAGGAUCCAAAGCCCAGUGAUGUCAAGAGAAUUGUAUUACUUAAUUUAGUUUUUCGUCAAGCCCUACUGGUGAAUUCUGGGAUGGUUUUUUUUUGUUGUUGUUGUUGUUUGUUUUUUAAUUUGUUUGGUUGUUGGGGUUUUUUUAGUGAGGUUUUCCUGUUAAGGAAUUAAUUCUAGGCAACUGAAAUCAGUUGGAGUUCUUAUAUCUGUGGCAUCAGAGCCAUACAAAAUUGCAGAUUUUUACAGGGAGAUAAAAACAUAUGACAUCUGAAGUUUAGCAAAUUUAGAAUCAUCUCAUGUUCUCAAAAAACUCCUUGACAUUUUCAUAUAAUGAAAAUUAUGAAAGAUUCCAGAAUGUUUAGCUCAUUUGCAUUCAGUAUAAAAUAUUUUGAUAAUAAUUAUGAAUUUGGUAUACCAAGUAAGUAAAUGGCAUGGUUAUUAUAGGUUAUUGGGGAUGAGCAGGAAUCCUUAUGGCUUGACAUCUUUAAUAGAACUGCAUUACUUACCAGUAACUGAAUUUCCUUUUUUUGGGGGGAGGCAUUACCUCUUCCACAGAUUCAUGGUCUUUAGUGAAAUUUAUGAGAACACCAUGUCAGACACCAAAGAGCUGCUGAAGUUGUCAAAUUUCAGGUAAGUACAAAUUGUACUAGCGCAUGCAUUGAAUGCCAUUUUACCUCUGGCAGAUGUGUGAGUCACUACUAUACCCUCCUACUUCAUUCCAAACUGACUGGAAAAAUCUGUCUUUCAAUAGGAAACCUGGGGAGAGAGGGAGAUGGAAUGGUUCUACAGAGAAAACUGUUGUGUAGGAGAACUCAAGUUACUGGUUACUUUGCAAUUCGGUAUAUUUAGGUCUUGAGCAUGCCACGCAUCUCUAGCUGUGAUGUAAAUGAAACAAAAUGACAAGCAUGAAAAUUAGCAAAGGUAAGUCUUAGGAGGAAGCAUUACUGAAAUAUUGCUGUCAGACCAUAAUAAUGGUGCCAUAAAUCUCCCUUUCAUUUCUUGUGUAUUUACAUAGCUUCUGCAGAUGGUCAGCAGUGCACAUCAGACCCCAACAUUCAUUCCAGUUGCUAAGAGUUUGGUGAGAAUAAGAAAGGCUCAGCAGUUGUAUGAUUUAACAUCAGGAUGUCACAUUUUAUGAAGGUGCUGAAGGAAAGACAAUCUCGACAGACUGAAGUUUGCUAUGAAAUGAAAUGAGGCAGCAAUCUCUAAAGAUAUGCAAAAUGAAACUGAAUCACUGAUUCUGGAUCAGAUGGACCGAAUCGGGUCUUCAAAUUACAAUCAUGCAACUUAAAUCAACAAACAAAGAUGAUAAAUUCAGGUAAGAAUCACAUGUCAAGCUCAACUCGGUGUCUUGCUGUUGAUGAACUACAUGUAAAAUAUGUAAGCAAAGUAUAAGAGAAAGGCAGAGUUUGGUGAGUGUGUGGAAACAAGUGUUAAAACAGACACAAAAAAAAAAAAAGUUACAAGCCAAGUUCCUUACCUGGACAGAAUUUGGCAGAACUCUACUGAAAAAUCUGUGUGAUAAUAUUUUACAAAAAAAUUAAGUCAUGUAUCCUUUAAAUUCAAAUAUCACUGGUUUGUUAAAAACUGCUGCACAGUCUCUCACUUGAAACACAUGACAAAACUUUUAUCCAUACAAUGUUUUUGUUAAGUAAACAGAUCACCAGCUUCUGCUGUACAGACAGCAAAAGUAAAGCAGGAAGAUUCAGAAAUAAAUCUCACUCCAAGAAAUGUCUGGCCUUAUGGUAUACUCAAAAAGUUAGGUAUAAAUGAACCUCAGAAGAUGGCAGGCUGUAAGAGCCAGCCUUUGACAGGACUACAUAUGCUGGCAGACUUGUAAAGGAGACGCCAUAACCGAGCUUGUUGCUCUCCCUCUUUCCCAUGCUGGAGCUCACCCUGCAUGGCUGCUUCUCUGCCUCAGGCAGCUGAGUGAAGAACAGACCUGGGUGAGCGCUAUAAUUAGGAUCUCCUGGUGCUGCCUUCUUUGCCCAAGAGGAUUAACUCAGCUCAUUAGUGCAGGGCCACAAAGAAUCCUGUGCCAGAUGUUGGAGGAAAACCCUGAAGGUUCUGCCUACCCACUGCCAGCACUGCUGUGACACUCCACUGCAUCCCCAAGCAGAAAGUGUAGUCCUGACUCAGAAUGCUUCGUGUGCGUUUCACCAACGCGCUUCUCACUCGUCCUUUGUCGCUAAGGAACAGAUUUUGCACACAAGAAUACUCAUCAAACUCCAAAUCAUUUACAGUCAAAACAAGCCCACAGCAUGUUGCUGCAUCUUGUUCUCAAUCCAACUAUUACCUUGCAGUUCAGCAGCUCUAUGAACUCCCACACUUAACGUGCUUCCAAGCCUCCCAGAAGCUGUGUUGAAUUUUUUUCCUGACCUUUUUAAAUAAGCAUUUGCUAUUCCUAAGAGAACAGUGAUUGAACAGUUUAAUGACAGCAUUCACAUUUCUGCUUAAAAAUGCUUCUCUGCAGCUCACAAAGGGCAAAGCUGCUAUAUAGCUUUUUUUAAGUACAUGUAAUACAGUCAAAAGAUGCCUAAGAAACCAGACAGAAUCUUCUCCUUGUAAAAUAUACAGCAAGAUUUAUUACGGAAUGAGUUAUUACUUCACAAUAUUCUCUAGCCCAAUUCAACACAACUGUCUCUAAGAAUUAGAACAGUCCCUUUUUCUAUCCUGAGUUGCUCAAAGGGGUUUUAUGCAAAAAAAAGGUUUUAAGUGGAUUAUCAAAUUACUGUAACGGUUGACAUUCUCUCUAUGAACAGUCUUGUCAAAUCUGUCUGUUGCUCAACCAUGCCUAAAGUCAACAACCAAACUUUUUUUCAUGUACAGGAUUGUUAAGUCUUUACAGUGCAGCACUUAGAGUGGUUUCAGUUUGCUUUUCCCAAGCUGUUUGCAUCACUUUCCCUUGAGUUUUUUUCCCUGAUUCGCCAAGCCCUAAAACAAAUCAUUAAGUCACAAAAUGUUAACAAGAAAAAGAAUCUAAGUCAGGAAAAAAGGCUGUGCCAUAAUAGAAAGGGAUAUCAGAAAAUAUUUAGGCUUAAAAAAUACACCCAUUUCUCAGAUGAUCAGCUAGAAAAUAAUUUGAUGGCAUUUCUUAAAAAUAAGCUUUUGAACUUUAAGUAUCAGAUUUAUACUUUGAAAUGUUCUAGUUUUGUCUUGCAACUGGAUACCUGAAUUAUCCUUUCUCCAAUUCAUGUUCUACACAUGUUUGUUGGUUUAAAUAGUUGCAUUGGUAUAAAUGGUGCAAGUCAGGCAGGGAAAGGAUCAUCUGCAUGAUCAAGGUCCCUGAUUUGCAUAAACCAAAUUGCCAAGACAGCAAAUGUGGAUGACACAGGAAACAUAUCAAAUUUAUUUUAAAAUUGUUUUUACUUGUGUAAUGAUCAAAUAAUUUAAGUGACAUAAUGCCAUUUUACUUUAAUUACUUCAUCGUUAUUGCUUUUGGCUACAAUACUGCAUUUUUUGAACAAAAUAUUACUUUGACUGGACAGUGCUUUACAGAUAACUCUUUCUUGCUUUUCUUAAUUAAAAAAAGACAAACUAAUCUGCAGUAGCCCAAGUUGGGGGGUGGGAGGGACCAUUCUUUCUACGUGUUCUAUUUCUAUUUUCCCCUGUUUUCUAAUUAGGUCCUCUCUGCAUGACUUUUGUGGUGAGGCACUCAUUUGCUCCUGCUGCUUAGUCUUUCACCUGAAACCACAAUGGUCUGUGAUAGCAAACUGGCUGCUGCAAGGAAAUUAUGAUGUGACAGAGUAAUACGAACAUGUGUAAGGAAAAAACUGCAGGGGUAGAACUCCAAAGGAAAAAAAUCCUGGUCACAUGUGAAAAAAAAAAAAGAAAGAAAACAUUCAAAAAGCAAUGGCAAACCCUGAGCUAGUGUAAAGGACAUUAUCUAUGUAGACACUAGAAAAAUACUGCCACUUAUAUAAACUGGUACUUUAGAUUUUCUGAACACUGUCUGAACACUGUAAGAUUAAAACUUUCCAUGCAAUGCUGUCAUUCAGUUUUAACACUUGACUCUACUUUUUAUCCUCAGUCUGGUUUGUGUAUGCUUUUUGGUAACUGCCCGUCGGGUCUCUGACUGCAUGACUACAGACCAUAACCCUGUCACACAGCACACAGUAGCAGUUCAGAAAUUUUAUUUUUCAAGGAAAGUAAGCUUCAUGUGAUUAUACUGCACUACCAUUGCUUGCUGCUUUUUCCAUGUCUUCUGUGCAAUUGUCUAAAAGGGACAUUACAUAGCAAUACUGUAUUUUGAGAUUCGUGUUUUAAUAAUUUGAAAGAUAUUUUUUGGGAUUGCUCUGUAUUGUAAUGAAACUUUCCUUUAUGACUUCCUUUAGGAAUUAAAAUGCUGAUUACCAGAAGUACAGUUUUGUUUUAUUUGCUUACUGGUUAAAAUUAAUCAACGUAAUCUUAAAAGUUUUGCUUUAUAAAGAAAAACACAAUCUUGAAUUAAUUAUGCUUGCUUCAGAUAACAGAAUCGUCCUGUAGUCAGUUCAUCUUAAAAUGCUGGCAGGUAUCCUUAGCCCUAGGGGUAAGCAAUGAGGGUACUGUUGGUAAGUUAUUCUUUUGGAAUAAUUGCUAAAAUAAUAAACAUGUAAACAGUAAACUAGGAGAACAUUCUCUUUUAACACAGCCACUUCAAGGACUGAAAACAGGCAGAGUUGUUAUUUUUGGAUAAAACUGUUGCCAGCAUUUUUUUUGGCUGAUGACAACUGAUGCAGCAGUGUAUUGGCCCUCUUAUGCAACUAGUUUGUACUAACAAACAAAUACAAUUUUUAAAUGUAUCCAAACAGAGAUCUAGGGAUAUUUUUGGUAGACUCUUCAUAAUAUGUUCAAUGUGUGGACCACAGGAUAUCAAUGCUAUCAAGCCCUAAUCUCUUUCACGAUUUCUUUUGUCUACAGAGUCAGGAGCUUGGCAGAACAUUUGAAGGGAAAGGAAAGUGUGCAGGUAUUGAAAUCUCCCUAACACUAUGCUGAUGUACCAGUCAAAUACAAGCUGGAUUCAAGACCAGAAUUUAAUUUCAAUAAUAUUUGCUUAUUAGUCAUAUUCCUCUUAUGUCAUAUUAAUACAAGAAAAAUAAUGUGUUUCUGAUUCAGACAAAAGAACAGUGAUGAAUGUACGGCUCAAGACUUCAAUACUUCCAGUCAAAAGCUACUACUGGAUCUGAUAUUCUAAUAUAGCAGCAGAAAUGUUUUUACCAGCAACAAGACAUACAACAAUACUAGACUCAGUAUUGGCAAGUAAUUUGUUCUGGGUUCCAAGAAUACUUCAGUGUGUAAUUAAAAUGUAGUAAUUACUGCUACUGAAUUGUUUUAAAUUAAAGAAGCCAACUUAGAGAAGAGAAUGUUCUAUGUAGAUAUACUAAAGUCAGGUAAAGGUCCUCAAAGCUAAAUGUAACUUUGCCUUCCUUUUCAUAUACAAUAUGCUUAUAGCAGACUCUUCAGUUGAUUUUAUAACCCUAUGAAACUCCUUCGUAAUUCCAUUGCAGUCAAACAAAUUACUCUAGGUUUAUGAGAGUGUAAGUCAGAGCUGAAGCCAGCUUAGUAUUUCAUACAGCACAAAAUAAAUCAUGGAACCCAAUUACACGGUAAAACAGCAGGCAGUUUUUCUACACUGGAAAACAGGCAUUUAUAGAAUCUCUUGAUAUUAACAGAAUAGACCCGCACACCACAAUUAAUUUAGAAUUCCUACUCCCAGGCCUGCAGUGCAAUGUUAUCUCUCAGCUUCAAACUCUCCAAGAGGAAGGGUGUGAAGUGAGCAUGGCAUGGUCACAGUCUGGUGCAGAAGAGGGGUGUGCCACUGGCUGCUACUGAAAGGAGCCCAAAUGAGCUGUGCGUCUCCACCAAAGCUGCCAGAGGAGCAGUCCCAGAAAGUGUGAAACCCAUGGGUAUCUGGAAUGGGUUGGGAAAAGCCCAAGAAGGAAAAAGUAAAACAAAAUCAAAAGAAUCCACCAUAAAACAUAUUUGUGGAUUCUACCAGGGUACUUUUCUUUCGCUGCUAGAAAAGAAAGACAAUUAUUUGAAGAAUUGAAAAAGCAAUAAGUGGACCUGGGAUCUACAAACAGCUGAGGCGAGUCCUGGGUUUGGGGUCAGUGCUAUUUGUCCAAAGUCAUGAAGCCUAGGAGGAGCCUAGCCUGAGGGCUCAUGGGUUUUGCAUCACCUCUCAAAUGUCUUUUUACUAAUGAUCUAGAAAGAUUUCCUCAUUAUUCUGAUAACAUUUAGGCCAGCUGUAAAAUAAGAAGUUAGAAUAAUAUAGUUUAAGAGCUUUCUAAGAACAUUCAUGAUUAAUUGCUAGUAAGAACUCAGUAUUACUGAGGAAGUAUAUGUUGGCAUACGUACACUCUAGUUUCUAGCUGAUGCAAUACUUGUCUGCAGAGCCUUGGAGAAAAACCUGCACCAUCAAGGAUCUCUAAAGUAAAAAUGCUAUGGUUUUCUAAGACUGUGGCCUGCCCCAGGGAGGACAGAUCUAAAGGUAAAGCACUACUACUGCACAGUCAAAACCUUAAAUUUGAAUUCUCUGCAUGCAAAACGCUCAGUUUUCAAGCAACAAUUUAAGGACUCUGGUCUUGAUUUCUUGGUAUUUCUUGGGAAACAGUUUAGUAGGUGGCAUAUGCAUUUGGUAGGAUCGAGUACAAUGAUAAGUGAAAAAUCGUGCUAAGAUGCUGCCUAGCUGCAUGAAUCAGGGUGACCUUCAUAAAAAUGAUUAGCCAGAAGUGUACCAUUAUCUACAUCAGUUGUGUUCUAGGAUUCUGCUGGUUUUCCAUAUGGUGAUGAAAAAGGUUAUGCCAUUUUUUGAAGAAAACAGAAUUUGACUUCUUUCCAGUACGUUUUAUUUUAAAGUGUCUGAUUUUUCCCUGUAGAUCUGAAAUUAAUUGUUUCUCCUGAGAGAAUAUAACUGUACAAUUGAGCUAUUUCUUAUUUUUGUACUUAGCCUUUCAUAGCAGAUCCCCGCAAGAGAUCUGUACAUUCUUAUAAGAUAGGCAGCUGAGGUUAUGGAAUUUAUAGCAUGUAUAAGAUCUUUCAACAAGAAGUGAUAACAUGUUCAUGUUCUGGAGUUGAGGCUGAGAUGAAAAGGGAUCUGGUUUUAUGUGAAAGGCCACACAGCUGAAAUUCAGCUAGGAGGCUUGCCAUCAAUACAAGUAAGACUGCAUAGAUAACAAAGAAAUAUACAGCUUGGGAAAUGAGAAAAGGACCCAAUAAAUCUCCUGCUGAGAAAGGUAGAUAAGCAGCUGUCAGAGGAGAUAUAGAAUGAGCUGGCAUUUUUAGCUUCUUUCCAGCUCUAGAAGAUGCUUACAUACCAAGUAUGGUUGCUAAGAACAUGUAUCCAGGCUGGUGGUUUCAUGAAGAAACAAGGCUGUGGUACAAAAAGAAGUAAGUUCUGGAUUACACAAGGUCUCUAAACACUGCCAUUAAUAUGUAUAUUAUGGAAGGGCAGAAUGGGAAAUUUUUCAUUUCCACUACAAGAUAUAUGGAGAGCUUAAUUCCCUUUGCUAGCUUUCAGAAUACGUGAAUGCUCUAAACAGCAAGAUGGAAAUAUUUUCUAAUGGGUAAGAGCCUAAUCUAAUCGCACCUGAAGUAAAUCAUAAUGCCUCCCUCUAGUUUGUAUGGCUUCUGAAUCAGGCUCUAAAUAUCCCAGCCUUUCACUUCCUCUUAGAUUAUCACUUUUAUAGCAUAAGAAUGGCAGCCUCUAUCAUGUGCACAGUGCUAUAUAAAAACACAGGAAAGUAGUUUGUCAAUCACUUCAGAACAGAAGUAUUUACCUUUGCAAAGAUCACUAAGAUUAAGAUAGCAUGUGCAUUACAAACUUCAUGAUAAAAAAAAUUGUGAGGCUAUUAUUUGCUAAGAAAACACUAUUAAUUUAAUAUAGCAUCAAUGUCCAUUAAAAUUCUUGAUAAAAUUUAUUUGAUUGGCCUGAUCUUUCAUCUAGAGAAACUGCACUGGUGUGGGGGGUAUCAGAGUAGGAGAGAGACCUGGCUACAGACAGGUUUUGUCUUUCUCCCACCUUGUCUUGUUUGUCUUGCAAGAAAGUAGGCCUAAGUUGAAAACUGUAGUCUCAGUUUGCCUGUCCCCCAUGCACUUGAUCAGCCACAUGAGACCAGUCACCAGACUCUUCCCAGCCUACUGUGAAAAAAGCCACCAGAGAGAGCCGAAGGGUGUACUAAUCACCAGGGUGUUCAUUAUGUGAUCACAAGGUGCAAUUUGGAUAAUGCUUUGCUUUAACUUAAUACCCCAAUGGCCAGAGCUGAUAGUAGCAAAUAAUUCUUAGGCUUUAUCUACAGCAGAAUUAGCCAUUCUGCACUGACUUAAGACAUUGCUUUUUGCAGCAAGAACCAUAUUGAACAUAACCUUUUCCAAAAAAUGGAGAUGAGAUCUUUACGUUGCAUGUGGAGCCAAGGUACAGGGAGAACUUAGAAGAGUUUGGGAGGUAUCCCUUAUUUGUAACAUCUGUACCUCUGUAAUAUCCCUUAAAGGGCAAACUUCCUAAAGAAACAGCACUGGGAGGAAUGACAGGAGGGGAUGGACAGACAGACACUAGAAAGGUACCUAUAGUUUGACUCACGGAUAAAGAGUGGUGAAGCAGCUAAGAUAGCUGUUAUGCUCUGACGGGACAAUUCCUAAGAAUUGAGCAUUGAUUAUAAGCAAAACCAUGUAACUGGUGGUUAAAAGGAAAGAAUGGGCUAGGAGCUUUGCACCUAAUAAUAUAGGUCUGAUAAAAUUCUGAUAAAAAAUGAAUGAGGCCAAGGAUUCUGUUGUCUGGGAAUUUGGAAGUACAAGCAGCUAUACUUGGCACAGGCUGUAGAUACAAUAUGGGAGAAAGCAGGAGGGAGGAGAGAUCAUGUCUCCAUUUCUUUACUUUGCACUUUCUGCUUUGAUGAAAAUUUGAGGGCUGAGGUGUAUGUGACAUUUGCUAGAUAAAGUCUGUAGAACAAUUACAGGCUGUACAGGAACAUGCAGUAAUGUAUCUGUUCUUAAACUGUAGGGCUGCACUGAACUGCAAUUCAUUACUGCUGAUUUAAAAUCUUUUUAUCUGCCUCAAUUGUUUCUUGCAUCUCUGCAUAUAAGAGGAAGGCUGGGAGACCAGAACUUCAUCAGUGCUACCAAACCUUCCUUCUACUCUGCUUUGCAAUAAUAUUUGCCUGUAUUCUUGAUGUUCAGAGAGUCACAUAACACAGAUUUCUUCAAAAUAAAUACUUUAAAAAUGAUGCUCUCAAGGCUGCUUGGUAAAAGUUUGACCUAUUUUUCCUCUUUAACUGUUUAUGUAAUGCAUUUAAUUCUCUGUAUUUUCUCCCAUAUUCAAAUAGGUAUAAUUAAGUAGGGUUUUGAGGGCUAACACAUGUGAGCACCCAAACAAUAACAGGUCUACACCAAACAUAAUAGACAAGAAAAUCUAUCAGUAAGUCAACAGGUUUUCCUAUCAUGCUUUCUAUGAGGAAAUGAAUCUGUUCGGGGAGGUGCAAUCUGUUCAGGUGUAAUUCGCCUUUAACUCAUGGAAGGUAUUAAAUCUCUUUCAGCAUUGGGACUUAGUCAUGAAUUACCUUUCCAUAGUAGCUGUGUUCCAGGAGUAGCCACUCCUGAACUUACAAAAUAGUCUUGCCUUCAUGCAGCUACUCUGGGAUCUGUGAACACUGAGGAAUCACUGCCAUCUUCCUUUGGAAAAACAAUUCAGGCAAUCCUUGUCCUCUUCAAGGACAGUUUUAAGGGGCUUUCCCUGCAGAAGCAGCUGUUUGUCCCACAACUUUCAUCCCGCACCACACCAACUUCUCUCAGAAAUAGAGACCUGAUUCACUCACUUUGGCACAAGCUGUCACUAAACAAAGUGAUGUAUGCCUGCUGGGAUGAAAUACAGGACAACUGGGCUUUCAAUAUAAAGAGAUAUUGCUAUGAGCCAUCCAAUAUAGGCUUUAUUGCAUAGGCAAAGCCUAACAUUGAUUUAGGACUUGAAGAUAUUCCUCAUUGUUGCAUGUUAUAGUUAUGUGGCCAGUAGAAGUGCAAAAUAAAGCUCAUGUAAUUGCAAAAAUUUAGUUACUGAUUAUUUCAAGUUCUUAUACAAAUCACUAUUACCAGAAGGAUAACAGAUGCUUUUGUCUCAAUUAAAAAAAAAAAGUACUAUUGAUAUGUAACAUUUUUAAUUAGAACUACCAGUUUCCACAUCUUGUCUUUGUUAUACUUUAUAUCUCCUUGUUAGGGAAAACCAAUAGUAAAAAACUGAAAUAUAUUAGAUUUUCUAGUAAUAAGCAUAGUGAAAGUAUUUGUCCUAAAGAAGAAUUUAAUACAGAGUGCAUAACUAUUUAAUAAUUAAACAUUAAGUUAACAGAAAAUGUCAGAUAGGAUGGAUGUGAUAACUAAGCACUGCAAAUAGUCUCUUUCACUCAAAUCCAAUAUGCUAACCUUGAUUUUUGUCACAUUUUGUUACAGUUUACUCAUUAAUUUUAUUCACAUACACGAAGAAGGUAGUGACUGUCCUCCCACAGGAGCACGACAACACAUGGCACACAGAACACAUCACUGCCUACUGUAGAUUUUAUCAGUGCUAGCUUUGCUCCACAGAAGGACAACACAAGGUGAGUAAUACAGUUUUCUGUACAGGAUAAAUUCUGCAAUGUAAAAGCCAGUAGCAGUCCACAAAACCUCACACUACUAAGCCAUUUCUAUGUGCCCUUAUUGUAUUUCAUGAAAAAAUGUGGGAUAAACACGAACAGUUACAUAUAUUUUACUUAUAUGAAAUAAACCAGUGCCCCUGAGAGUGACCUUGAUCUCAUACAUAAUCCUGAAACAGAAUAUAGUAAAUAAAUGAUGUUAUAGGAACAGCUUAACAGCUUCUUUGUGAAGUUUCCAUUGGGAAGCAGCUGUUCAGUUGAUCGGUCACCUUAAAGAAAACCCUAAAUGAAAGAAUUAUACAUUAAGAUCCUCAAGCAGUAGUUGUCUGUAACUGGAAAUGCCAAUAUAUGAUUAACUUCCCUGAGGUCAAAGGCAAGGUAAUUUAAAACAACAUAAAACGUAAAUUUUUGAACUCAGAUGAAAAAACGUAGCAAGGAAAAAGGUUACAGUCAGUAUUCAUACAGCAGAACUUUUGGUAAACAUAGUAUGCAGAAAAAUUCUCAUCAUAUAAAAUAAGUCACUAACUCACUAAAUAAUUUUACAAUUUCAUCUCACUUCCCGUCUGCAGACAUCCAUAAUUCCUUCAUGUGCAACACAUUCCUGGUGUCUCUGCUUCUGCACUAUAUUUAUUGUGCACUGGCUUUUUUCAAAAUUUUGAAGUAAGGGAUAAUGAGGUUGCAUUUUCAAAACACCGCAGCUGCUGGUUUGGUUUUGCAGAUGACACACCCAUGCAUGUAAUCAGCACAAGCAGUCACAAUUGCAUUUCAAAACUCAAUUGCUUCUCAUUGUAAAAAUGUAUUGUGCCCAUAAAAAGCUAAAAAGCCUCACCAACGUGUCCCCCCCCGCCACCCUUGACUACCAAAAAAUACAAAUAUGUAAUCCUAGAGCAACUGAUUUGCCACAUAGAAUUUUGAGAAUCAGCAACAUAACUCAGGCAUCAUUUCAGCCACAUAUGCAGCUCUGCACAGAUUUGAGUCUGAUUAGAAUAUGAGUGUUCCAUUCUGACUCUGUUCCAUUCCAACACAUUCUGUCUGAGGAAAAAUUAACUGUUCAGUGCCUCUGCAUAUGUAGCAUCUGCUCCUUAAAAACCUAGUUCAUUAUGUUUGAAAAAAAAAACCCAAAAACUAAACCCAGGAUCAGAAAACCUUUCUGAUUUUAUAUCCAAUUGUAUUACAAUAUUGAAAACGUGUUUUAAUCUUUCUUUUUCACAAAAGCAUUAUGCAAGUGUGAUGCUCAAUUUUCUCAUCCAAUCAGAAGAAACAUGGGGUAAAUAAAAACCAAGAAAAGAGGAAGAUGACCCCGCAUCACACAAUAUACAGAACACCAAAACACUCCCCGCCCUUCCACGAGAGCAAGUACAAAAUACAGCAGAUUUCAAC